Molecule: ribosomal RNA, 253 nt
Filed under: uncultured bacterium
Lineage: Bacteria
Description: partial 16S ribosomal RNA
Rfam family: Bacterial small subunit ribosomal RNA
Source: RNAcentral
UACGGGGGGGGUAAGCGUUGUUCGGAAUUACUGGGCGUAAAGGGCGCGUAGGCGGCCAUCUAAGUCAGACGUGAAAUCCCCCGGCUUAACCUGGGAACUGCGUCUGAUACUGGAAGGCUUGAGUAUGGGAGAGGGAUGUAGAAUUCCAGGUGUAGCGGUGAAAUGCGUAGAUAUCUGGAGGAAUACCGGUGGCGAAGGCGGCAUCCUGGACCAUUACUGACGCUGAGGCGCGAAAGCUAGGGGAGCAAACGGG